This is a non-coding RNA of Paramormyrops kingsleyae, 452 nucleotides long. Lineage: Eukaryota; Metazoa; Chordata; Actinopteri; Osteoglossiformes; Mormyridae. The record is from RefSeq and is a predicted model, not a curated record.
CAAGCUGCCGGCUCCCUCUCUCCCUCUUGGCUUGAUUGUGAUUAAUGCAGGAGAGCUUUUCCCAGCCUGUACAGAGGGGGCAAAAGCAGGAAAACAAGCAAAGCCAUAGCAGCAGUACCACGACAAUAAAUAUAAAGAAAUAAAACGACAGUGGCUUACUCACGCGUUAGUGACUCCGCCCGGGACUUGGACCAGCCCAAAGGAGCUACCGGAGUGCGCACGGUGCUCCAGGUGUCUGGACCAGGCCCCAGAUCUCAGCCCUGUCUCAACCGUGUCAGAUGCACUCCUCUGAGGUUGACGAUGGAGUGAGUGAAUGCCAGAAGCUUCUCAUGAUCUCUUGGGCAUCUUGUCCUCUUCUGUGCCAUCUGUAGGCUUUUGAUGUCUGUGCUAAGGCCUGUACUCUUUAAUUAAUACUGAUUAAAGGGGAACCAUCCCCCUUUUACAAAAUGAAG